Molecule: non-coding RNA, 22 nt
Filed under: Arabidopsis thaliana (thale cress)
Lineage: Eukaryota; Viridiplantae; Streptophyta; Magnoliopsida; Brassicales; Brassicaceae
Also listed under: 2 other names
Source: RNAcentral
CAGGUCUCCAAGGUGAACAGCC